This 73-nucleotide transfer RNA is filed under the name Stegodyphus mimosarum. Its description in RNAcentral is "tRNA-Ser for anticodon CGA". It matches the Rfam family "tRNA". From Rfam's summary of the family: Transfer RNA (tRNA) molecules are approximately 80 nucleotides in length. Their secondary structure includes four short double-helical elements and three loops (D, anti-codon, and T loops). Lineage: Eukaryota; Metazoa; Arthropoda; Arachnida; Araneae; Eresidae. The record is from Rfam by way of RNAcentral.
GCCUUCGUGGUGUAGUGGUCAGCACGCUUGACACGAAACCAAGAGGUCCGUGGUUCGAUUCCUGGCGAAGGCG